AAUAAGUGUAGUUUUGCACUAUUCACGUUCAACGUUUGACCGUUCGUCUUAUUUGAAAUUUUUUUAUGAUUAGUAUUUUUAUUACUAUUAGAUGAUAAAACAUGAAUAGUACUUUAUGUGUGACUAAAUAUUUUCAAAUUUUUCACAAAUUUUUCAAAUAUAAGACAGACGGUCAAACGUUGGGCACGGAUAUCCACGGCUGCACUUAUU
Oryza sativa Japonica Group (Japanese rice) is the source of this 210-nucleotide microRNA precursor. It matches the Rfam family "MIR812 microRNA precursor family". The record is from Rfam. NCBI's taxonomy places the organism in Eukaryota, Viridiplantae, Streptophyta, Magnoliopsida, Poales, Poaceae.